GCGCGCCCUCGCUGGCGCCGUACGGUGGCGAACGGAGGGAAAUCCGCACCGUAAAACGGUGCGGACGUCCGUAUCUGAAACGGACUGUGUAUAUAUAUAUAUAUAUAUAUUUAUAGGGCUUCUCAGCUGUGGACGUCUGCAUUUAUCUUGCGGUGCGGAUUUCCAUUUUACACUUACUUUUCAAUCGAAUUUUCACAUCUCCACCGUCUAAUAUUUAGAUACUAUUGUAUAGAUCAUCUCUGCAAAAUUUCAGCCAAUUUGGUUAUCAUUAAGGGACUCAAAACUGCAUUUUUCUAUUAUAAACAUGAACGGUUUAAGUUCGAUAGAAUUAUGUUCAUCUAUUGGUUUAAUCGAGUUGAGUGUCUUAAUGAUAACCAAAUUGGCUGAAAUUUUACAGAGAUGAUCUAUACAUUAGUAUCUAAAGACAAUACGGUGGAGAUGUGAAAAUUUGAUUGAAAAGUGAGUGUAAAGUGAAAAUCCGCACCGUAAGAAUAAAUGCGGACAUCUGCACCUGAGAAAGUCUAUAUAUAUAUAUAUAUAUAUAUGUACGUACGUGAUCUCCUAGUGGAAUCGUUGUAGGUUUCAUGGUGGUGGUUGGAAAAGUUAAGGUGGAUGGAGGGUGGUGUGACGGCCGGAUAAGGGCAAGUUACUGAGUGUUUUUCAGUAAAUCUUUUUGUGACUAUUAAACAUAUAUAGAUCUCUUAAAGGUGAUGAUAUUCUCUAUUUAAACUCUAGGGUUUGGCCUUUAUUCUUAAGAGAGCGAGUCUACUGGUUAUUAAUUUGGACAAUUUUCUUUUCUAAGUUCGAUACUUCAAUUUGAUCAUAUGGAUGAGGGCAAAAGCUGUAUUACGCUCGUUGUACGGUAUGUCUGACAGAGUCGUUAACGGAAGGGUAAUUAUGUACUUUCAGAUCGUCACAGUAACUACCUGAUUUUACUGCAAGAAGGAGGAGAGAUCGAAGAGAGAUUUUGCGGAAUCCAAUAAUGCAGAGAUUACAUACAUAGCCGGUAGCUCGUUGCCAAGAGAGAAGAGUCGAAUCAUUUCGAGAGGAUUCGAAGAUACAGUCUGGAACUGGAGUCGGAAACCCAGAGAGAUUAGCGACGAAGCUCAUUGUGGGGAGAUCAGAGUCGAAUCUAAUUACUGGUAGCGAUCUUCGGAAACCCAUUACAAUCUGCUUCAGGUUCGCUCAAAGUGUUUGUCCCCUGUUUUGCAUUUUACU
Molecule: long non-coding RNA, 1218 nt
Filed under: Fragaria vesca (wild strawberry)
Lineage: Eukaryota; Viridiplantae; Streptophyta; Magnoliopsida; Rosales; Rosaceae
Description: long non-coding RNA (FVES_LNC004058)
Source: RNAcentral